UGUUGAACUUCAUGGGGAUCAAGAUAGAAAACUUUAUCAUCUUGCGCGCCAACAAGAUACGUAGAAGCACCGGGCCUACCGCCUAAAAUCCCGAGGCUCUGUGGAAAGGUAAAUGUGGCAGCCAACAAAGGUAGAUACCUGGGUUUACUUUGUCAAGACCAAGAACCAAAGGAACCAGCAAGAGGAUAGGUGACCAUUCAGUUUGGUUUUUUUGAAAUUCGGAACAAUUUCUUGAUGCAUCUUCAAUGCAAAGAACCGGUGCACCACCGCGUUCACCGUCUUCGUCUCCAGAGACGACAUAAAUGGCCAUUGGAAAUGACUUAUCUUGAAGUCCCUCUUUCUCUAUUUUAGAACGUAUAAGUGUUUCCCACCUGCGACACAUGGCGUAUGG
Molecule: long non-coding RNA, 391 nt
Filed under: Helianthus annuus (common sunflower)
Lineage: Eukaryota; Viridiplantae; Streptophyta; Magnoliopsida; Asterales; Asteraceae
Description: sRNA HanXRQr2_Chr12g0533341
Source: RNAcentral